RNAcentral lists this long non-coding RNA (976 nucleotides) under Homo sapiens (human). RNAcentral's name for it is "HSALNT0363267". The record is from RNAcentral. Lineage: Eukaryota; Metazoa; Chordata; Mammalia; Primates; Hominidae.
ACUUGAAAGAUGGGCGUCAGACUUGCAUACGCAGCAGAUCAGCAUCCUUCGCUGCCCCUUAGCAACUUAGGUGGUUGAUUUGAAACUGUGAAGGUGUGAUUUUUUCAGGAGCUGGAAGUCUUAGAAAAGCCUUGUAAAUGCCUAUAUUGUGGGCUUUUAACGUAUUUAAGGGACCACUUAAGACGAGAUUAGAUGGGCUCUUCUGGAUUUGUUCCUCAUUUGUCACAGGUGUCUUGUGAUUGAAAAUCAUGAGCGAAGUGAAAUUGCAUUGAAUUUCAAGGGAAUUUAGUAUGUAAAUCGUGCCUUAGAAACACAUCUGUUGUCUUUUCUGUGUUUGGUCGAUAUUAAUAAUGGCAAAAUUUUUGCCUAUCUAGUAUCUUCAAAUUGUAGUCUUUGUAACAACCAAAUAACCUUUUGUGGUCACUGUAAAAUUAAUAUUUGGUAGACAGAAUCCAUGUACCUUUGCUAAGGUUAGAAUGAAUAAUUUAUUGUAUUUUUAAUUUGAAUGUUUGUGCUUUUUAAAUGAGCCAAGACUAGAGGGGAAACUAUCACCUAAAAUCAGUUUGGAAAACAAGACCUAAAAAGGGAAGGGGAUGGGGAUUGUGGGGAGAGAGUGGGCGAGGUGCCUUUACUACAUGUGUGAUCUGAAAACCCUGCUUGGUUCUGAGCUGCGUCUAUUGAAUUGGUAAAGUAAUACCAAUGGCUUUUUAUCAUUUCCUUCUUCCCUUUAAGUUUCACUUGAAAUUUUAAAAAUCAUGGUUAUUUUUAUCGUUGGGAUCUUUCUGUCUUCUGGGUUCCAUUUUUUAAAUGUUUAAAAAUAUGUUGACAUGGUAGUUCAGUUCUUAACCAAUGACUUGGGGAUGAUGCAAACAAUUACUGUCGUUGGGAUUUAGAGUGUAUUAGUCACGCAUGUAUGGGGAAGUAGUCUCGGGUAUGCUGUUGUGAAAUUGAAACUGUAAAAGUAGAUGGUUGAAAG